AAACGAUAGAGAAAGCUUGCUUUUUCUAGGCGUCGACCGGCGCACGGGUGAGUAUCGCGUAUCCAACCUGCCCAUCACUUGGGGAUAACCUUGCGAAAGUAAGACUAAUACCCAAUGGUAUCUCAAGAAGACAUCUGAAUGAGAUUAAAGAUUUAUCGGUGAUGGAUGGGGAUGCGUCUGAUUAGCUUGUUGGCGGGGUAACGGCCCACCAAGGCGACGAUCAGUAGGGGUUCUGAGAGGAAGGUCCCCCACAUUGGAACUGAGACACGGUCCAAACUCCUACGGGAGGCAGCAGUGAGGAAUAUUGGUCAAUGGGCGAGAGCCUGAACCAGCCAAGUAGCGUGCAGGAAGACGGCCCUAUGGGUUGUAAACUGCUUUUAUAAGGGAAUAAAGUGAGUCUCGUGAGACUUUUUGCAUGUACCUUAUG
Molecule: ribosomal RNA, 427 nt
Filed under: uncultured Bacteroidota bacterium
Lineage: Bacteria; Pseudomonadati; Bacteroidota
Description: bacterial SSU rRNA
Rfam family: Bacterial small subunit ribosomal RNA
Source: RNAcentral